This 255-nucleotide ribosomal RNA is filed under the name uncultured bacterium. RNAcentral describes it as "partial 16S ribosomal RNA". It matches the Rfam family "Bacterial small subunit ribosomal RNA", at positions 524 to 776 of the family's 1533-position model. The record is from RNAcentral.
UACGUAGGGUGCAGGCGUUAAUCGGAAUUACUGGGCGUAAAGCGUGCGCAGGCGGUUUGCUAAGACAGGUGUGAAAUCCCCCGGGCUUAACCUGGGAACUGCGCUUGAGACUGGCGGGCUAGAGGCCGAGAGAGGGUGGUGGAAUUCCCAGUGUAGAGGUGAAAUUCGUAGAUAUUGGGAAGAACACCGGUGGCGAAGGCGGCCACCUGGCUCGGUACGUGACGCUGAGGCGCGACAGCGUGGGGAGCAAACAGG